Clupea harengus (Atlantic herring) is the source of this 2748-nucleotide long non-coding RNA. Lineage: Eukaryota; Metazoa; Chordata; Actinopteri; Clupeiformes; Clupeidae. The record is from Ensembl.
ACACACACACACGAAUAGGUGGAAGGCAUUCAGAGAAAAGUUCAGUAAAGUCUGAAGGAUCCUUUUCAGUUCAAGAUGAAAAUGUGGUGCUAGACACUGAAAGACUACAGGUGAAAAGAAUGAGAAAAAGAUAGAAGACUUAUGACUAAAUAAAGGUUAGGUAAUGGUUUUCAUUCUAGAACCCACCCAGCCCUCGACAAUACUACGUGAUUAACAAGUUUUGUUGAGGAAACAGCAUGAUCCUCAGUGUUUCUCACGGAUUCCUAAAUGAUGACUUUCUCCACUUCACGUAGAUCAAACAGCUUGUGGCAGCAGGUCACCAUAGCCACCAGGACUGGCCCGAGAGAAGUUGACAAUGGCAUGGGCAUGGUCGAUUUAAAUACUGACCUUUGUGUGCUAAAGUGUGAAGAGACUUUUAAUGCCAACACAACUCAUACAAGGUUGACAGAGAUGACAAUUCUGCCAAAUAGUUGAGUGUGCACUUGAUAUACAGGGUAUCACACAGAAAUCUGAAGGGACCACAAAUGCACAGCUGUACGAAUCUCCACUGUGUUGUAAAGAAAUGACCUAAAUUCUAUCCUUUUUAUUGGUCGACACUUUUCGAAAUACAUUAUGUGCAUAUGUUUUCACGGCAUACGCCUUGUUUUUUUCCCUCGCCAUGUGUUUUUACUUAUGGAGUAGACCAGACCAGAGCCCAUACCUUGGCAGGAAACAAGAGCACAAACAAUUGUAUCUGAGCCAGCUAUUUGGCUGUGCUCCCUGGUAAUGCUGAUUUUCAGUUCUGUUCAUGCGCAUAAUUCCAGUCACCCAGUCUGUUAUUCCACAAGUAGUCUUUUGUCUCCGUGUUACCCAGAAUGCCACACUUCAAAAGGAGGUGGCAAAUUCUUCUCCUUCCCCUGAGAUGCAUUAAGAUGAAUGUUCAUUAAGGUGAAGGUUCAUUAAGGUGAAUGUUCAUUAAGGUGAAUGUUCAUUAAGGUGAAUGUUCAUUAAGGUGAAUGUUCAUUAAGAUGAAUGUUCAUUAAGAUGAAUGUUCAUUAAGGUGAAUGUUCAUUAAGGUGAUCCCUAACUCUAGAUGCUUUAAGGUGAAGGUCUUCCCCUCUGGUUGGGGUUGCUGAUCUCAUAGCAUCAGUCUGCUUUAUCUGAACAAUACGGUCCCUUCAUAUCUGUACCAGCAACAUUGGUAGCACUAUGGUGCCAAGCGUGACCAUGUUCGCUGUGCUGUCCAAGCCCUCUGUGCUGUAUCUGGCAUGGCGCCACUGAGAGGGAGAAAUGAGAGGGAGAUUGGGUCUCAUCCAGCUAGGGUGCCUGGCACACUGCCUAGGAGCAACUGCUUGAUUGCCCUCUCCUCUACAGGUAUAUAGAUAACUCAUCUGGAAGGGGAAGGGAGUCGUCACCCGAGUCACAGCCAGGGUUUCCGAAAAAGAGGCCUCAAGACGGGUAGCUGACACGUUAGAAAAUAUGCAUCAGAAUGCAUUCAGAAAGAAACAGGAUAGUUUCACUAAAAACCGUCAAGUCAAGCUAUGAGUACAAUAAAAUCAAGCACACACACGUAUAAGAUCAUGACUAUACCCGACACAGGUCAGUAUCUCAGUCUCUACAGCUCACUCAUUGUAGCUAUGUAUAGCCCAGUUUGUGUCAUGUUUUCUUUCUUGACUCUCCUCUAUGCUCUGUCCAUUUCUCUCUCUCUCUCUCUCUGGUGAGCACAUGCAGGGCAGUAAAUCAGUGUGGAGCGAGGCUGGUAGGGUUCAGGCUCAGGUUGCCUCUAUUUAACGAGCGCUAGUUGCCUUGAUCACUCAAACCAACCCCAGGUGACGGAUGUCUUAUAUUUGAUGACACCAUUCCGCUCCAGACACAGACUGUUACGGUUACGGUAAGUGAUGUCACCUGAAACAGUGAAUCCUUCUUCACCACGGAGACGAGUUUAUGGGUGGCGGGGGUCAGAGUGUUAGGUUUCAAGCAGAUUCUACAUCCAUGGUGGAAAUACUAAGAAGGUCAUGAGAACGUUCACACGCUGGAAAGAUGAUCAUCAUCAUCAAAUAAGCAAGUUCACAGUGAUGUCCGCCAGUAAGUAGAAAAGCGCUACAAAUGUCUAUAUGCGUGAUUACCAACAAAUCAUUUCAGUUUCAGAAAUGAAAAGACCCUAAUGACUUCACUACAUGGCACCUGAAAUAUAAAACUCUAUUCACCAAUCAGAAGAGAUGAUGGUGCACUUACACACACGUUUAUUCACUUUGAUCUGAAGCCACCUAUAGUAUGGUAAACAGUAUCACACAUUUUCAUCAGUAUGAGUAUGAAGUGGCCAGCCUUACCAGGGAUCUUCAGAUUGAGAUCACACACACUGCCCACACUAGCAACAGAGGCAGCCUUCUGCCGGCGGGAGAUGCUCUCGCGGAUACGGCCCUCUCCGGUGACCUUCACUGAGAAGGGACUGCCUGUGGACACACACACCAAAGCAGAGCACACACAUCGGUGCAUCAGUCAGCGCUGCUUCCACUCAAAGUGUACUAAUGUCUUUACAUUAUUUGCUCUGUACCAUCGUGGAGUAUACUGAAACCACAUUUCAUUGAAACGGUGCAACCAUCAGCAAUGUGGACCAUAUUUUACAUUUAGCAGACGCUUUUAUCCAAAGCGACUUACAAGGAUGUAUACACAUUUUUUACAUUUACACUGAUGGCACACUGCACAUCAGGAGCAAUUAGGGGUUCAGUGUCUUGCUCAAGGACGCUUCGACAGGGAAUCGAACUAGCA